CCUACGGGUGACAGCAGUGGGGAAUAUUGGGCAAUGGGCGCAAGCCUGACCCAGCAACGCCGCGUGAAGGAAGAAGGCUUUCGGGUUGUAAACUUCUUUUGGCAGGGACGAAGCAAGUGACGGUACCUGACGAAUAAGCCACGGCUAACUACGUGCCAGCAGCCGCGGUAAUACGUAGGUGGCAAGCGUUAUCCGGAUUUACUGGGUGUAAAGGGCGUGUAGGCGGGACUGCAAGUCAGAUGUGAAAACCACGGGCUCAACCUGUGGCCUGCAUUUGAAACUGUAGUUCUUGAGUGCUGGAGAGGCAGGCGGAAUUCCUAGUGUAGCGGUGAAAUGCGUAGAUAUUAGGAGGAACACCAGUGGCGAAGGCGGUCUGCUGGACAGCGACUGACGCUGAGGCGCGAAAGCGUGGGGAGCAAACAGGAUUAGAUACCCGUGUAGUC
RNAcentral lists this ribosomal RNA (443 nucleotides) under uncultured bacterium. Its description in RNAcentral is "partial 16S ribosomal RNA". It matches the Rfam family "Bacterial small subunit ribosomal RNA", at positions 338 to 795 of the family's 1533-position model. The record is from RNAcentral.